Molecule: ribosomal RNA, 488 nt
Filed under: uncultured bacterium
Lineage: Bacteria
Description: bacterial SSU rRNA
Rfam family: Bacterial small subunit ribosomal RNA
Source: RNAcentral
GAUGAACGCUAGCUACAGGCUUAACACAUGCAAGUCGAGGGGCAGCGGGAUUGAAGCUGCUCAAUUGCCGGCGACCGGCGCACGGGUGAGUAACGCGUAUCCAACCUUCCGUACACUCAGGGAUAGCCUUUCGAAAGAAAGAUUAAUACCUGAUGGUAUCUUAAGCACACAUGUAAUUAAGAUUAAAGAUUUAUCGGUGUACGAUGGGGAUGCGUUCCAUUAGGUAGUAGGCGGGGUAACGGCCCACCUAGCCAACGAUGGAUAGGGGUUCUGAGAGGAAGGUCCCCCACAUUGGAACUGAGACACGGUCCAAACUCCUACGGGAGGCAGCAGUGAGGAAUAUUGGUCAAUGGACGAGAGUCUGAACCAGCCAAGUAGCGUGAAGGAUGAAGGUCCUACGGAUUGUAAACUUCUUUUAUAAGGGAAUAAACCCUCCCACGUGUGGGAGCUUGUAUGUACCUUAUGAAUAAGCAUCGGCUAACUCCGUG